Molecule: transfer RNA, 72 nt
Filed under: Sus scrofa (pig)
Lineage: Eukaryota; Metazoa; Chordata; Mammalia; Artiodactyla; Suidae
Rfam family: tRNA
About the family: Transfer RNA (tRNA) molecules are approximately 80 nucleotides in length. Their secondary structure includes four short double-helical elements and three loops (D, anti-codon, and T loops).
Source: Rfam by way of RNAcentral
UCCAUGGUGGUCCAGCGGGUGGGACUCAGCACUUUCACUGCUGCAGCCCAGGUUCAAUCCCUGGUCCGGGAA